Molecule: non-coding RNA, 83 nt
Organism: Protomyces lactucae-debilis
Lineage: Eukaryota; Fungi; Ascomycota; Taphrinomycetes; Taphrinales; Protomycetaceae
Source: the annotation of a RefSeq genome assembly
GCCCUCGUAGCUUAGCAGUUAAAGUGCCGUUUUCCGACAAGGAUUGCAGGCGGAGAUCGUGGUUUCAAAUACCACCGGGGGUU